CCUUUUAAAAACCUUGAAGGAAACUCCAAAGAGAACAAUAUCUGCUAGCGGUGUGCUUAGACUUUACACGUAGAACGGGAGGAUUCAUGGUCUUGGAGAGGCAGUGGUGAAGGCAGCCAUUGUUAAGUGCAGAACCAGAAACAUUCAGCGUAUGGGUCUUCAUGUUAAUCCUCUGAGGACUGCGGCUACAAGAAGUUUGGGUUCCACUACUCUGCGGAUCGAGAUGGCUAUAGAAGGCAGAACAUUUGAUUACAUCAAGAAAAAAAGGAACCAAAUGAAGACAACUAAAAGCGAUUGUCUCAGGUAACCCUGCAACAGAAGCAGCAUAUUAACUUGUAUUGAAUCCUCCCACUGCAGUUUAGGAAAGAAACUAAACCCGAAAACUCGAACCGGUCAUGGAGUUCUUGGUAGCAACAUAAUGUAAAUCAACCCUCUCGUGGAUCAUAAUACGAUUCGUUAGCCACAUGUGUUUUCAUCAUGCCUUGAUUUUGCUGCAUCUUUGUUUGCAUGUAUUAUGGCAUCAGGUAUUAAAC
Molecule: long non-coding RNA, 533 nt
Organism: Cucurbita moschata (crookneck pumpkin)
Lineage: Eukaryota; Viridiplantae; Streptophyta; Magnoliopsida; Cucurbitales; Cucurbitaceae
Exons: 5
Source: RefSeq, a predicted model, not a curated record